CGGGACCUUCGGGGCCCUACAACCAUGGCGCCUUACGGGGCGUCGCCAAGCAAACGGAAGACAGAUAA
Thalassobium sp. R2A62 is the source of this 68-nucleotide non-coding RNA. The record is from Rfam. Lineage: Bacteria; Pseudomonadati; Pseudomonadota; Alphaproteobacteria; Rhodobacterales; Paracoccaceae.